RNAcentral lists this long non-coding RNA (1012 nucleotides) under Mus musculus (house mouse). Its description in RNAcentral is "predicted gene, 39232". Lineage: Eukaryota; Metazoa; Chordata; Mammalia; Rodentia; Muridae. The record is from RNAcentral.
UUUCAACUUAAAUGUUCCAUUUUCUAUAACUUUAUUCUGUGUAUAUGGGUACUGCAGAGAAACAUUGUCCUGAUUGUUACUGAUUAUGAUUUUUCAGGCAUCUAGUUUGGCCAAUGCUCUGGAGGUUAGCAGCUGUUCAACUGCAGUUACAGACUGGUACAACCACAGUGGAAAUCAAUCUAGCAGUUCCUCAGAAAAUUAGAAGCAGCUCUACCUGAAGACGCAGCUAUCCCACUUUAAUGAGGAUAUCAUGAAUUUUGCAGGCAAAUGGCUGGAACUAGAAAAGUAUCAUCCUGUGUGACAUAACUCAGACACAAAAAGAUAAGCAUGACCACUGAUCUGAACAAUUACUCCGGGCACAAUCUGCUACGCGCACCAGCACAGACACUAUGAGGAAAGCAGUUCUACAGCUCCCAUGCCUUGCUCUGCAUCAACACACAUCUAUGAUGAAGAUCCAGGGCAAUAGACUGAGACUUCUGAAACCCUGCAAACAAACAUUUUCUUCUUUUAAGAUAAUCUUCUCAGGCAUUCGCCAUAGCAACAGUCUUCUAACUGUGGUGUUGUAACAGUUUCCUCUGAGAUAGAAACAUCUCAUCUUUCAGGAAACUUUGUAAAUUCAAGGAUGACAACUCAACAAAGCUUCAGUAAGUCCUGGAAACUCACCAGAUUCAAUAGGCUCCUCCUAGAGAGAAUUAGCAAUAAAUCUGAGAGACCUCCUUCAGAUGAAAGGAAGCCAAGCUGCAAAGAAGACUCUUAGACUACAGUACCUUCUGUGAAGAAGCAGGAAUUAGUUGAGCUGUCUAAAAUUUGUUUAAAUCAAAUGAGUACUUGCAAAGGACACUCCAGAAUCUAUUUAUUUGCAUUCAGGUUGAACAGUAUUUUUGGUCCCAAGCUUUGUGUUCUAUACUCAUGUUGACCUGGGCUCUCAUGAUGCAUCUGUCAUUUAUGCUACUGUGAGUAGCUCCUUACCCAUACUCCUGAAUUAGCCCAAAUAAAAUACAUUAGUUCACCG